Molecule: ribosomal RNA, 253 nt
Filed under: uncultured bacterium
Lineage: Bacteria
Description: partial 16S ribosomal RNA
Rfam family: Bacterial small subunit ribosomal RNA
Source: RNAcentral
UACAGAGGGGGCAAGCGUUAUUCGGAAUUAUUGGGCGUAAAGGGCGCGUAGGCGGCCUGGCAAGUGGAAGGUGAAAUCCCUCGGCUUAACCGAGGAACUGCCCUCCAAACUGCUUGGCUUGAGUCCGGGAGAGUUGAGUGGAAUUCCCAGUGUAGCGGUGAAAUGCGUAGAUAUUGGGAGGAACACCAGUGGCGAAGGCGGCUCACUGGACCGGAACUGACGCUGAGGCGCGAAAGCGUGGGUAGCAAACAGG